This 385-nucleotide ribosomal RNA is filed under the name uncultured Streptococcus sp. RNAcentral describes it as "bacterial SSU rRNA". It matches the Rfam family "Bacterial small subunit ribosomal RNA", at positions 993 to 1382 of the family's 1533-position model. Lineage: Bacteria; Bacillati; Bacillota; Bacilli; Lactobacillales; Streptococcaceae. The record is from RNAcentral.
CUUAUUUCUAGAGAUAGAAAGUUACUUCGGUACAUCGGUGACAGGUGGUGCAUGGUUGUCGUCAGCUCGUGUCGUGAGAUGUUGGGUUAAGUCCCGCAACGAACGCAACCCCUAUUGUUAGUUGCCAUCAUUCAGUUGGGCACUCUAGCGAGACUGCCGGUAAUAACCGGAGGAAGGUGGGGAUGACGUCAAAUCAUCAUGCCCUUAUGACCUGGGCUACACACGUGCUACAAUGGUUGGUACAACGAGUUGCGAGUCGGUGACGGCGAGCUAAUCUCUUAAAGCCAAUCUCAGUUCGGAUUGUAGGCUGCAACUCGCCUACAUGAAGUCGGAAUCGCUAGUAAUCGCGGAUCAGCACGCCGCGGUGAAUACGUUCCCGGGCCUU